CGGAUCCACUUUCCUCCCGUUCUUGAAGAUAGGCACCGCAUUGGCCUUCUUCCAAUCUUCGGGCGCUUCACCAGAGCACUAGGAGUUUGCGAAGAUCCGUGCUAGGGACUGGGCUAUUGAAGAUCCAAAGUAUUGGUUUUCUUUAUCAAAAGCCAUAUGUAAUGAAAGAGACUAGAUCAGCAUUGAACUAAGCUUUGCUCUGUUCUUGGGAAGAGUCCCGUGCAUUUCAGAAUGGUUCAACUGAAACAGCUGUCAUUUUCCAAUUCUGUGCGCUAGAUGGUCUACAGCAAGCCUUCAGCCCAACUGAAUUCUGCAAUGUAAUUGG
Molecule: long non-coding RNA, 325 nt
Organism: Alligator sinensis (Chinese alligator)
Lineage: Eukaryota; Metazoa; Chordata; Crocodylia; Alligatoridae
Exons: 3
Source: RefSeq, a predicted model, not a curated record